UACGUAGGUGGCAAGCGUUGCCCGGAUUUAUUGGGCGUAAAGGGCGCGUAGGCGGCUCGGCACGUCCGUUGUGAAAUCGCCCGGCUCAACUGGGCGGGGUCAGCGGAUACGGCCGAGCUUGAGCAAGCUAGGGGGCAAUGGAAUUCCCGGUGUAGUGGUGGAAUGCGUAGAUAUCGGGAGGAACACCAGUGGCGAAGGCGGUUGCCUGGAGCUUUGCUGACGCUGAUGCGCGAAAGCGUGGGGAGCGAUCCGG
RNAcentral lists this ribosomal RNA (253 nucleotides) under uncultured bacterium. RNAcentral's name for it is "partial 16S ribosomal RNA". It matches the Rfam family "Bacterial small subunit ribosomal RNA", at positions 524 to 776 of the family's 1533-position model. The record is from RNAcentral.